GCUGGAGGAGUUGGCGCCGCGGUCGGCAACCCCGCUGACGUGGCAAUGGUCCGCAUGCAGGCUGACGGGCGCCUCCCGAUCCACCAGCGCCGCAACUACAAGAGCGUGAUCGACGCAAUUCGGGAAAUGUCGAAACACGAGGGGAUCACUAGCCUGUGGCGCGGCUCAUCUCUUACGGUGAACCGCGCCAUGAUCGUGACGGCAUCACAGCUGGCGUCUUACGAUCAGAUGAAGGAGGUGAUAUUGGAG
RNAcentral lists this long non-coding RNA (249 nucleotides) under Prunus persica (peach). RNAcentral's name for it is "long non-coding RNA (PPER_LNC008208)". Lineage: Eukaryota; Viridiplantae; Streptophyta; Magnoliopsida; Rosales; Rosaceae. The record is from RNAcentral.